GAUGAACGCUAGCGACAGGCCUAACACAUGCAAGUCGAGGGGCAGCAUUUCUAGCUUGCUAGAAGAUGGCGACCGGCGCACGGGUGAGUAACGCGUAUGCAACCUACCUUAUACUGGGGGAUAGCCCAGAGAAAUUUGGAUUAAUACCUCAUAAUAUUUUUAACUCGCAUGAGUUUUAAAUUAAAACUUCGGUGGUAAAAGAUGGGCAUGCGUUCUAUUAGUUUGUUGGUGAGGUAACGGCUUACCAAGACUACGAUAGAUAGGGGUUCUGAGAGGAUAGUCCCCCACACUGGUACUGAGACACGGACCAG
RNAcentral lists this ribosomal RNA (311 nucleotides) under uncultured bacterium. Its description in RNAcentral is "bacterial SSU rRNA". It matches the Rfam family "Bacterial small subunit ribosomal RNA", at positions 28 to 334 of the family's 1533-position model. The record is from RNAcentral.